AAAAGAAAUUUUCAAUGCAAAAUGGUAAAAAAACAAACAAACCGUAUUUCUUCCUUCCUUUUUUACUUCUUUCCUGAUCUCUUUCUUGGGUAACGGGGAAUCAGGGUUCGAUUCCGGAGAGGGAGCCUGAGAAACGGCUACCGCAUCCAAGGAAGGCAGCAGGCGCGCAAAUUACCCACUCCCGACCCGGGGAGGUAGUGACGAAAAAUAACAAUACAGGACUCUUUCGAGGCCCUGUAAUUGGAAGGAGUACACUUUGAAUCCUUUAGGGCCGCCAGGUUCCCCCCCGGCCCCCCCGGCGUGGUGCACAUUGUGUAAGCCGCCAGUCGCCAAGAAGACUGGCGACCGCAGUGGCGGUUGCUGCACACACCCUAGCCACUGGCACGUUUGCGUCCCACUUGGACCCAGCCGCCUCGGCAGCCUGUCCCUUCUGCCCGGGGGGUGUUGAGGAGACCCUCUUUCAUGCUUCCUGGACUGUCCCCGCCGGCAGCCGCUCUUUGCCACCCUCGGGCCGCUGCUGCAGGCGCUGGGCAGGAGCUUUUCGGAGACCACCUACGUGUGCUCCUACCCGUACCGGGCGGCUGAGAAGGGCCCCGUCUGCCUGGCCAACUUUGUACUGGGUCAGGCCAAGCUGGCCGUCCUCAAGAGCCGCUGGAACCGGCUUGCCGGGACCGGCUCAGACGAUGCCCUGCGGCUUUUCCGCCUCCUGGUGCAGGCGCGCCUCUCGCUGGAGUUUGAGCACGCUGUGCUCCGGCGGGCAGUGCCCACCUUUGAGCCGCGCUGGGCCCUUGAGGGCGCGCUGUGCCGGGUGGAGGACGGCCGUCUCAAAUACGCGCUCUGAUGUCACGACCGGUCUGGGCGACCGGGCUGGCUCGGUGUCGAACUGCGACUUCCAGCUCGUGCCGCAUCCUGGGCCCUCACCAGGCUGCUUUUUUGCUCUCUUUUGUGUGGAAAUUGAAGGUUUUGUUACGUGCGUGAUGGGACGGAGCAGGGUCUGAAUUGUUUAUGUAUGUAGUUAUGA
RNAcentral lists this long non-coding RNA (1021 nucleotides) under Crocodylus porosus (Australian saltwater crocodile). RNAcentral's name for it is "lncRNA (ENSCPRG00005001592.1)". The stretch from base 1 to 281 matches the Rfam family "Eukaryotic small subunit ribosomal RNA", at positions 240 to 600 of the family's 1831-position model. Lineage: Eukaryota; Metazoa; Chordata; Crocodylia; Crocodylidae. The record is from RNAcentral.